This 29-nucleotide non-coding RNA is filed under the name Mus musculus (house mouse). The record is from RNAcentral. Lineage: Eukaryota; Metazoa; Chordata; Mammalia; Rodentia; Muridae.
UAACGACUCAGGAAUGGAGAUAUCCUUGU